UCGAGAAUCAUUCGCAAUGGGCGAAAGCCUGACGAUGCGACGCCGCGUGAGUGAAGAAGGCCUUCGGGUUGUAAAGCUCUUUCGCUUGGGAACAAGAGAGGUACAUAAAUAAUGUGCCGAUUUGAGGGUACCAGGUAAAGAAGCACCGGCUAACUCCGUGCCAGCAGCUGCGGUAAUACGGAGGGUGCAAGCGUUAAUCGGAUUUAUUGGGCGUAAAGGGCGUGUAGGCGGGAAGCUAAGUCAGAUGUGAAAUCCCGGGGCUCAACCUCGGAACUGCAUAUGAGACUGGUUUUCUUGAGGAUAGGCGGAGAAAAUGGAAUUCCACAAGUAGCGGUGAAAUGCGUAGAUAUGUGGAAGAACACCUGUGGCGAAGGCGAUUUUCUAGCUUAGACCUGACGCUGAGGCGCGAAAGCAAGGGGAGCAAACAGGAUUAGAUACCCAGGUAGUCCCUGAGCGGGCUGGCAAGGCGCAU
Molecule: ribosomal RNA, 472 nt
Filed under: uncultured bacterium
Lineage: Bacteria
Description: bacterial SSU rRNA
Rfam family: Bacterial small subunit ribosomal RNA
Source: RNAcentral